GAUGAACGCUGGCGGCGUGCCUAAUACAUGCAAGUCGAGCGAACGGACCAGAAGCUUGCUUCUCUGAUGUUAGCGGCGGACGGGUGAGUAACACGUGGAUAACCUAACUCUAAGACUGGGAUAACUUCGGGAAACCGGAGCUAAUACCGGAUAAUAUUUUGCACCUCAUGGUUCAAAAGUGAAAGACGCUCUUUCUGUCACUUAUAGCUGGAUCCGCGCUGCAUUAGCUAGUUGGUAAGGUAACGGCUUAACAAGGCAACGAUGCAUAGCCGACCUGAGAGGGUGAUCGCACAGACGGGAACAGAGACAGGGUCCAGACUCCGACGGGAGGCAGCAGUAGGGAAUCUUACGCGAUGGGCGAAAGCCUGACGGAGCAACGCCGCGGGAGGGAUGAAGGUCUUCGGAUCGGAAAACGAUGUUAGUAGGGAAGAACAUAUGUGUAAGUAACUGUGAACAUCUUGACGGUACCGAAUCAGAAAGCCACGGCUAACUACGUG
Molecule: ribosomal RNA, 497 nt
Filed under: uncultured bacterium
Lineage: Bacteria
Description: partial 16S ribosomal RNA
Rfam family: Bacterial small subunit ribosomal RNA
Source: RNAcentral